RNAcentral lists this ribosomal RNA (801 nucleotides) under uncultured bacterium. RNAcentral's name for it is "bacterial SSU rRNA". It matches the Rfam family "Bacterial small subunit ribosomal RNA", at positions 68 to 863 of the family's 1533-position model. The record is from RNAcentral.
GGCAGCACGGGGGCAACCCUGGUGGCGAGCGGCGAACGGGUGAGUAAUGCAUCGGAACGUACCCAGUCGUGGGGGAUAACUGUCCGAAAGGACAGCUAAUACCGCAUACGUCCUGAGGGAGAAAGCGGGGGAUCGCAAGACCUCGCGCGAUUGGAGCGGCCGAUGCCGGAUUAGCUAGUUGGUAGGGUAAAGGCCUACCAAGGCGACGAUCCGUAGCUGGUCUGAGAGGAUGAUCAGCCACACUGGAACUGAGACACGGUCCAGACUCCUACGGGAGGCAGCAGUGGGGAAUUUUGGACAAUGGGGGCAACCCUGAUCCAGCCAUUCCGCGUGAGUGAAGAAGGCCUUCGGGUUGUAAAGCUCUUUCGGCAGGAACGAAACGGUGGAGGCUAAUACCCUCUACUAAUGACGGUACCUGAAGAAGAAGCACCGGCUAACUACGUGCCAGCAGCCGCGGUAAUACGUAGGGUGCGAGCGUUAAUCGGAAUUACUGGGCGUAAAGCGUGCGCAGGCGGUUUUGUAAGACAGGUGUGAAAUCCCCGGGCUUAACCUGGGAACUGCGCUUGUGACUGCAAGACUUGAGUGCGGCAGAGGGGGGUGGAAUUCCACGUGUAGCAGUGAAAUGCGUAGAGAUGUGGAGGAACACCGAUGGCGAAGGCAGCCCCCUGGGUCGACACUGACGCUCAUGCACGAAAGCGUGGGUAGCAAACAGGAUUAGAUACCCUGGUAGUCCACGCCCUAAACGAUGCGAACUAGGUGUUGGGGAAGGAGACUUUCUUAGUACCGCAGCUAACGCGUGAA